Molecule: non-coding RNA, 2232 nt
Organism: Cyanistes caeruleus (blue tit)
Lineage: Eukaryota; Metazoa; Chordata; Aves; Passeriformes; Paridae
Source: RefSeq, a predicted model, not a curated record
UCUGCCCUGAUUGCUUCCCCAAACCGAGCCGCGCUGCCCCCCCAAAACGCCGGCCCGUCACCCUCUGGACCCCCCAAAAACCCUUGCCUCCUUAGGACGGGAAAGCCGCCGCUUUGCUUUGCUUGUCUUUAGGGAGAAAUACCCCGAAACAAAAUUAGGGAGAAAGCGGAUCGGGUCCAUCAGCGAAGACCAGCGGUGGCUGAUCCAAAGUUGUUUUGCUCAAACAAGCACCCAGAGGUUAAUUUCUUCAAGAGCCCCAUGAAAAGCGAUUAGCCUGUCUCCCAAGAAGUAUUUUCUAAUUACUUGGAAGCUCUCGCUUUACUACUACCCCAUAAUUAAACGUGUUCAAGGUGCUGCACUUCAAAUAUUUCGCUCGCGGGCGGACCCAAGUUACCGAUAAAAACUUUAAACCUCCUUGAAGCCCUCGUUACCUGCCCGCUCGCUGCCCGUACAGCGUUAACCUCCCCAUUCGUUAUCCCGCUCCUUCGCGGGGAUAUUUCUACCCUACAUGGGACAGGGAGGAGAAUUCCUGAGGUAAACUCAGAAGUAGGAGAUAAACAAAGCUGUACAAAACAAUUACUGCAUCUGCCUGUCCUCUGACAAUAAUCCAGCACCUCAGGUUAUUUUUAUCUCAAGCUCAAUCUCUGUAGAAACAUUCCCCAGCAGCACUAUCGGUCUGCGGUCGCCUCGCAAGCGGCAUCGCGGGGCAUCGUGCAUCGUGCGGGGGCUUUUCCUCGGGAACCACUGUGGGUCACCGGGAGAGGUGCCUUGAAAAUGGGAGUUUGGCUUCGUUUGCUUCUGUGCUUCAGCCUCCCCUCGCAGACCUAGUGCCUGCAAAUGUCACCCCUCCGCACACCAGCCAUGUUUCUUUUCCUUGUGCUCUCCGCGUAGUUUCAACGAGGCUCAUUCCAUGCUUCCAUCCUUUAAAAAAUUUAUGUUUUCCCUCCCUCAAAUAGGAGAGUGUGCGGGUGCUGCGGAACACCACACCCUGCCCUUUGCUCGGCGCUUUUGGCCCUGACAACUUUAGAAACGGGAUGCCAAGGCAGGAGCUGGGUCCGGGGAAGGAAGGAGGGAGAUUGCGGCCGACCCCCGCCCUCCGGCGGGCAGCGGGCAGGGGCCGGGGCCGGGCUGCGUGCCGCUCCUGGGCUGUUUGUGCCGCUCCUGGGCUGUUUGUGCCGCUCCUGGGCUGUUUGUGCCGCUCCUGGGCUGUUUGUGCCGCUCCUGGGCUGUUUGUGCCGCUCCUCCGAGCAAAGCCUCCCCCCAGCUUUUCCCCACACUCGGGGAAAAAACCCAAAACCAAACCAAACGACGAACCCCGAGGUGCUGGGAAGCCAAAAUGCCCAGGACAGUAGUGGAAACCCAGGGAGGUGCCGCACCUCCCGCUCUCCCAGCGUGGAAUGACUGCCUGCAAAACGCAGGCACGGACCAAAUUUCCCCUGGCUCACAGCGAUUCCCAUUUCCAGCCGGUCCUGCCCGUACUGCCGGGGGAGCUCUGGCAGAGACUCUACCCCGUGGGCAGCCCCGGUGUGCCUCCCGCUCACACCCGGCAUCACUUUUCUUUUUUCAAGCGAAGCCUUUGAGGCAGCUUUGCCAGCGCGCUGGAGCUGCUGGUGAGGGAUAGAGGAGAGGGGAGAGGUCGCUGCUCCUUUGCCAGGCUGCCUGUGCCGCAGGCGGUGUGCCCGGCGCUGUCCGGCUUUCCCUGGCCUCUCGCACUAAUUUUGGAAGGGAAAAGCCAAUAGCCACCCCCGCCUAGCCCUGUCCAGGCUUUCCUGGAGCCCGAGGGGCCGGGAGAGCUCGGCCAGCACGGCCGCAUUUCCCCAAUGCCGCCGGGCUCUCACUGCACCGCCGACAAGCAGAGGAAUGGGAAGCGAGCACCCUCCCCAUUCCCCGCUCCCCUGGUGCCAGGCGGGGUGAAGGGCGCUUUGCGCUGCCACCCGCAGCCUGGCGUGGCACCGGCAGCGCCCAUCCACACACUUCACGCGGGAACACUUUCCCAUCAACGGGGGCAAACAGACGUGUUGGAAAGCCUGGCUUCCACUUUCUUGCAAGAUCAUGAAAAUUUUAUGAGCUGCUCGUGGCGCGGGCAGAGCCCGCUGCUGCCGCGCCCGGCCCCGCACGAGGCUCCCCGGGAACGGAGCAGGGCACGGGCACGGAGGAUGCUCGAGAGGGAACGGAUGAGGGUCAAUGUCAGAGUCCUGGCUCUGGAAAGCGGCGUUCGGUCACGGCUACCGU